GAUGAACGCUGGCGGCGUGCCUAAUACAUGCAAGUCGAGCGAACGGACGAGAAGCUUGCUUUUCUGAUGUUAGCGGCGGACGGGUGAGUAACACGUGGAUAACCUACCUAUAAGACUGGGAUAACUUCGGGAAACCGGAGCUAAUACCGGAUAAUAUUUUUAACCGCAUGGUUCAAAAGUGAAAGACGGUCUUGCUGUCACUUAUAAAUGUAUCCGCGCUGCAUUAGCUAGUUGGUAAGGUAACGGCUUACCAAGCCAACGAUGCAUAGCCGACCUGAGAGGGUGAUCGGCCACACUGGAACUGAGACACGGCCCAGACUCCUACGGGAGGCAGCAGUAGGGAAUCUUCCGCAAUGGGCGAAAGCCUGACGGAGCAACGCCGCGUGAGGGAUGAAGGUCUUCGGAUCGUAAAACUCUGUUAUUAGGGAAGAACAUAUGUGUAAGUAACUGUGCACAUAUUGACGGUACCUAAUCAGAAAGCCACGGCUAACUACGUG
This 497-nucleotide ribosomal RNA is filed under the name uncultured bacterium. RNAcentral describes it as "partial 16S ribosomal RNA". It matches the Rfam family "Bacterial small subunit ribosomal RNA", at positions 28 to 507 of the family's 1533-position model. The record is from RNAcentral.